CAAUAUUAUUGCAUGUGCCAAUCAUUUUGUUGGAGAUGGGGGCGCUGAAAAGGGUGUAAAUGAGGGGAAUACCGUAUCAUCAUAUGAUGAUUUACAGAGCAUCCAUGUGGGUCCAUAUCUGGACUGUAUUUCUCAGGGGUUUCCACUGUUAUGGUAUCGUAUUCCAGUUGGAAUGGAAGUAAACUUCACGGUGACCAUUCCCUCUUGACGGAAAUUCUACAAGAUAAACUAGGUUUUAAGGGUUUUCUGAUUUCUGAUUAGGAAGGAAUCGAUGAACUCACUGAACCUCAAGGCUCAAACUAUCGUUAUUGUAUUUCUGCUGCUGUUAAUGCUGGAAUUGACAUGGUGAUGGUAUCUCACAGAUAUAAACAGUUCAUUGAAGAUUCGACUUUUCUGGUUGAAUCUGGGGAGGUACCAAUGUCCAGGAUUGAUGAUGCUGUUUAACGAAUAUUGAGAGUGAAAUUUGUUUCUGGCCUUUUCGAAUAUCCCUUCUCCAAUCGAUCUCUGCUAGAUAUAGUUUCCUACGAGGUAUAUACUGCAGAAUUUGGCAUCUGAUGUUCCCACCUAAAUCAUAGAGUCAU
Hibiscus syriacus is the source of this 581-nucleotide long non-coding RNA. RefSeq lists it as uncharacterized. The transcript has 3 exons. NCBI's taxonomy places the organism in Eukaryota, Viridiplantae, Streptophyta, Magnoliopsida, Malvales, Malvaceae. The record is from RefSeq and is a predicted model, not a curated record.